AGCGAACGCUGGCGGCAGGCUUAACACAUGCAAGUCGAGCGGGCACUUUCGGGUGUCAGCGGCGGACGGGUGAGUAACGCGUGGGAACGUGCCCUCUGGUUCGGAAUAACUCAGGGAAACUUGAGCUAAUACCGGAUACGCCCUUUUGGGGAAAGGCUUGCUGCCGGAGGAUCGGCCCGCGUCUGAUUAGCUAGUUGGUGAGGUAACGGCUCACCAAGGCGACGAUCAGUAGCUGGUCUGAGAGGAUGAUCAGCCACACUGGGACUGAGACACGGCCCAGACUCCUACGGGAGGCAGCAGUGGGGAAUAUUGGACAAUGGGCGCAAGCCUGAUCCAGCCAUGCCGCGUGAGUGAUGAAGGCCUUAGGGUUGUAAAGCUCUUUUAUCCGGGACGAUAAUGACGGUACCGGAGGAAUAAGCCCCUGCUAACUUCGUG
RNAcentral lists this ribosomal RNA (435 nucleotides) under uncultured bacterium. Its description in RNAcentral is "partial 16S ribosomal RNA". It matches the Rfam family "Bacterial small subunit ribosomal RNA", at positions 29 to 507 of the family's 1533-position model. The record is from RNAcentral.